Molecule: ribosomal RNA, 253 nt
Filed under: uncultured bacterium
Lineage: Bacteria
Description: partial 16S ribosomal RNA
Rfam family: Bacterial small subunit ribosomal RNA
Source: RNAcentral
UACGGAGGGUGCAAGCGUUAUCCGGAAUCACUGGGCGUAAAGGGUGCGUAGGCGGGUCUUUAAGUCAGGGGUGAAAUCCUGGAGCUCAACUCCAGAACUGCCUUUGAUACUGAAGAUCUUGAGUUCGGGAGAGGUGAGUGGAACUGCGAGUGUAGAGGUGAAAUUCGUAGAUAUUCGCAAGAACACCAGUGGCGAAGGCGGCUCACUGGCCCGAUACUGACGCUGAGGCACGAAAGCGUGGGGAUCAAACAGG